AACGCGAAGAACCUUACCAGGUCUUGACAUCCAGUAAAACUUGCAGAGAUGCAAGGUGAGCUUGCUCUUACUAAGACCGGUGGUGCGUGGUUGUCGUCUGCUCGUGUCUCGAGAUGUUGGAUUAAGGCCCGCAACGAGCGCAACCCUUAUUUUCAUAUACUAACGCGUAAAGGCGAGGACUCUGAAAAGACUGAGACUGCCGGUUCUAAGGAGGAUGAAGGCGAGGACGACGCAUAAUCCCCCUUGUGACUUAUGACCUGGGCUAGCUACAAUGUACAAUGGUUGGUACAACGAGUCGCGAGGCGGUGACGGUCUCCAAAUCUCUUAAAGCCAAUCUCAGUUCGGAGUGUAGGCUGCAACUCACCUACAUGAAGCUGGAAUCGCUAGUAAUCUCACAUCAGAUUGCUGCGGUGAAUAUGUUCCCCGGGUCUUGUACACACCG
This 442-nucleotide ribosomal RNA is filed under the name uncultured rumen bacterium. RNAcentral's name for it is "bacterial SSU rRNA". It matches the Rfam family "Bacterial small subunit ribosomal RNA", at positions 958 to 1392 of the family's 1533-position model. The record is from RNAcentral.